Molecule: ribosomal RNA, 400 nt
Filed under: uncultured bacterium
Lineage: Bacteria
Description: bacterial SSU rRNA
Rfam family: Bacterial small subunit ribosomal RNA
Source: RNAcentral
UUAGGAAUCUUCCACAAUGGGCGAAAGCCUGAUGGAGCGACGCCGCGUGAGGGAUGAAGGCCUUAGGGUUGUAAACCUCUAAAAGAGGGACGAUAAUGACGGUACCUCUUGAAUAGCACCGGCUAACUCCGUGCCAGCAGCCGCGGUAAUACGGAGGGUGCAAGCGUUAUCCGGAAUCACUGGGCGUAAAGGGCGCGUAGGCGGUCUGUUAAGUCCGAUGUUAAAUCCCGGGGCUCAACCCCGGAUAAGCGUUGGAUACUGGCAUGCUAGACGGUUGGUGAGGCGAGUGGAAUUACCAGUGUAGCGGUGGAAUGCGUAGAUACUGGUAGGAACACCCAUUGCGAAGGCAGCUCGCUGGACAACACGUGACGCUGAGGCGCGAAAGUGUGGGGAGCAAACC